GACGAACGCUGGCGGCGUGCUUAACACAUGCAAGUCGAACGGAAAGGCCCUGCUUUUGUGGGGUGCUCGAGUGGCGAACGGGUGAGUAACACGUGAGUAACCUGCCCUUGACUUUGGGAUAACUUCAGGAAACUGGGGCUAAUACCGGAUAGGAGCUCCUGCUGCAUGGUGGGGGUUGGAAAGUUUCGGCGGUUGGGGAUAGACUCGCGGCUUAUCAGCUUGUUGGUGAGGUAGUGGUUUUCCAAGGCUUUGACGGGUAGGCGGCCUGAGAGGGUGGCCGGGCACCAUGGGACUGCGGGACGGACCAGUAGGCUACGGGAGGCAACGGGGGGGAAUAUUGCACAAUGGGCGGAAGCCUGAUGCAGCAACGCCGCGUGCGGGAUGACGGCCUUCGGGUUGUAAACCGCUUUCGCCUGUGACGAAGCGUGAGUGACGGUAAUGGGUAAAGAAGCACCGGCUAACUACGUG
RNAcentral lists this ribosomal RNA (468 nucleotides) under uncultured bacterium. RNAcentral's name for it is "partial 16S ribosomal RNA". It matches the Rfam family "Bacterial small subunit ribosomal RNA", at positions 28 to 507 of the family's 1533-position model. The record is from RNAcentral.